This 498-nucleotide ribosomal RNA is filed under the name uncultured bacterium. RNAcentral describes it as "bacterial SSU rRNA". It matches the Rfam family "Bacterial small subunit ribosomal RNA", at positions 28 to 507 of the family's 1533-position model. The record is from RNAcentral.
GAUGAACGCUAGCGACAGGCUUAACACAUGCAAGUCGAGGGGCAGCGUGCGGAAGUGGCAACACUUCCGUGACGGCGACCGGCGCACUGGUGAGUAACACGUAUGCAACCUGCCCCCGACUGGGGAAUAAUCGCGGGAAACCGCGUCUAAUGCCCCAUAGUUCCCCGGGCCCGCAUGGACCCGGGGGGAAAGGGUUCAUUCCGGUCGGGGAUGGGCAUGCGGCGCAUUAGGUAGUUGGCGGGGCGACGGCCCACCAAGCCGACGAUGCGUAGGGGUUCUGAGAGGAAGGUCCCCCACCAUUGGAACUGAGACACGGUCCAAACUCCUACGGGAGGCAGCAGUGAGGAAUAUUGGUCAAUGGGCGGAGAGCCUGAACCAGCCAAGUAGCGUGCAGGAUGACGGCCCUAUGGGUUGUAAACUGCUUUUAUAAGGGAAUAAAGUAGAGGGACGUGUCCCAUAUUGUAGGUACCGCAUGAAUAAGGACCGGCUAAUUCCGUG